RNAcentral lists this ribosomal RNA (478 nucleotides) under uncultured bacterium. RNAcentral describes it as "SSU rRNA". It matches the Rfam family "Bacterial small subunit ribosomal RNA", at positions 26 to 518 of the family's 1533-position model. The record is from RNAcentral.
AGAACGAACGCUGGCGGCGUGCUUAACACAUGCAAGUCGAGCGAGGCCCUUCCUUCGGGAAGGUGCCCUAGCGGCGAACGGGUGAGUAACACGUGGGCAACCUGCCCCUAGCACUGGGAUAACUCCGGGAAACCGGGGCUAAUACCGGAUAUGACCUUCUUGGGCAUCCUCGAAGGUGUAAAGGAUUCUGGCUAGGGAUGGGCCCGCGGCCUAUCAGCUUGUUGGUGGGGUAAUGGCCUACCAAGGCGACGACGGGUAGCCGGCCUGAGAGGGUGACCGGCCACACUGGGACUGAGACACGGCCCAGACUCCUACGGGAGGCAGCAGUGGGGAAUCUUGCACAAUGGGCGAAAGCCUGAUGCAGCGACGCCGCGUGAGGGAUGACUGCCUUCGGGUUGUAAACCUCUUUCAGCAGGGACGAAGCGAAAGUGACGGUACCUGCAGAAGAAGCACCGGCCAACUACGUGCCAGCAGCCGC